CAAUUUCCAUUUUUGUUUUAUUUGAUUUUAUUUUGUGCUAACAAUAUUUUUGUGUGUUGAAUAGAAAAAAAGAGACAAAAAGAAAAAAAAAAGAAAGAAAAAAAAUAUACAGAAAAAAAUGAGAAAAAUAAAAAAAAAAUUGUUGUGUGAAUAAUGGAGUCAAGAAGAGGAUUGAAUUAGAGGGUUUUAGGUGUGAUUUGACUGUGUUUUCACUUAUUCCCCAUUGCUCCUCUAUUUCCUUUGGUUUGUAGCUUCUCAUCCAUAUUUAUCCUCCCUUUUUCCUUGACCUCACUGCAUCC
RNAcentral lists this long non-coding RNA (299 nucleotides) under Vigna radiata. RNAcentral's name for it is "long non-coding RNA (VRAD_LNC013031)". The record is from RNAcentral. Lineage: Eukaryota; Viridiplantae; Streptophyta; Magnoliopsida; Fabales; Fabaceae.